CGCCAUGGCAGGGCCUCGUCCAUCCAGCCUGGGCCGCGCUGGCCGGAGCAGACCGCAAGCGGCCCGCUGGGAGCCCAGCCAAGAGCGGUGUUUUUCCAGGUCCGCGCAGGGCCACGGGAACCCGCGUGUUUGUUUGGUGGGAAUGGAUUCCUGGAAAACUAGACGGAAGGCUCUCCCAGCUGCUGGCUCCGCUCUGUUGAUGGAUACCAUCCAGUGUCACCACAGGGGCUUCCAGUGCCUGGAAUUUUGGUGGGAGGAGAGCAACUUCAGGAAUGAAGGUAUGGGGACACCCCUGGUGGCUCAGCAGGUUAAGGAUCAGGCGUUUUCACUGCUGGGGCUGCUUGGCCUGGGAACUUCCACAUAUGGUGGAAGUUCCACAAAGGAGAAAACAAAGGGAUGAAGGUACGAACUUAAGAAAGUUUUGCCCCUGUUGCCGAAGCCGUGCAUUCCAUCCGAGGGCAUUUCUUUAGUCGCCGAACAUUCGCCCCGGCCGUAGAUAACGGUGUUGGACUAUAUCACCCCUUCAUACCCACUUCUCCCAGGUCCUCCAAGCACCUGGUGAUGGAGGUGCCCAUGGAGAUUUCCUGUGGAGGAAGAUGCCAGGGGCAGAACAGGGGCCUGGAAGGCUCACAGGGUGACUCUGUAUGGGGACACUGGUGAUCUUCUUCAAGAAAUGUCUAGACUGGGUGACCUCCCUGGAAAUCUGGCCCAAAGCCCUCCAGACCCAGAGGGACAAAUUGAGACCCAGAGAGGGGAAGGGACUGGCCCGUGUGACUCAGCAAGCUGGUGGCUGAGCUGCAGUGAAACCCCAGGGCUCGGGAGACCCAGUCCAUUCAUUUAUUGCACACAUUAGUUGAGGACCUACUAUGUGCUGGGCACUGUGCUCGGUGUUGGGGAUACAGCCUAUGCCUGCAUAGGUCUUACAUUCUCUGGUGUGUGUGUGUGUGUGUGUGUGUGUGUGUGUGUGUGGACUGUGGGUAAACGAAUUUAUUCCCCCGUGCUGUAUAGAUAGGUAGAAGUGCCACGAGACUCUGUGCUGUUUCCCUUGUCUUUGAAGGAAAUGGGCUUGAGGCUUGGGAGGAGACGCUCCGUCCCGCAUUCCCUCGUUAAAUACGUGCUAGUGACUGAUGUCUGAUUGCGUCCUGGCUGCUCUGGGGGACACGCACGCAAGAGCUUUUGCCUCCAAACCCUGCGCAGUCAGCUGGGCGGAGGAGACAUGCCUCUUAGCCUCUUUGCAGUCACGUCUGUAAUUUUUAUGCCUAUAUUGUCUUCCUCUCCUACUCUCUUCCCAGAAGCAGGUUUAUAGAAAACUCUGAUUCGGAAGUGGUGCAAACCCCUCUCCCCAAAGGCAUCUCAGACGCAGUCACUGUUACUGAGUUACUGAUGGACAUGAGCCAGUGGCCUUGGGGAGGCAGUGGGCAGGCCGGCCACAGUCUGUAAUAAGGGAGAGACAGUGCAGCAGUGAAUAAUAGAACAAAAAACUGCCGGCGCCUGCAGGAUCAAAGCGCGGGAGAAAUAGUGUCUCUGGGUUAAGCAGAUCAGCCGGAGGGGGCUGGGGCAGGCGGUGCACACCUUGGACUCCCUGGGAGGGAAGUCGGGGCUGCAGAGGAACCGUCAGCUGGAGAGGGGGUUUCUGUGCCUUCCGAGAUGCUCUCCUGUGGCUCUCUUUCGUGCCUUCCCUGGAUCGGGGACUCUUCCCUCUACCACCCCUUUCUUCUGUCCCACCCUCGAGAGUAACGAGAUGGAGAGGGGGAGGCAGGAGAGCCUGGACGCUGAGCUUAGGCAAGGCCAAAUUCCUUCCCAGCCCUCCGUCUUCCCUCCUGUCCAAGGAGGAGGUGGGAAUCUGGUCUCGAACUUUCUGCCCACUUUCGUAAACUGUAUGUCUCUGAAAAGAGGCGGUGAGAAUCUGCUGCUUAGGCUGUCUGUCCAGUUGCUUUUAGACCAGGCGGGGCGAUCGCCACAGCUGAACCUCCAUUUCUUGGGGGGACAGAAGGAGGGCAGGCGGUGCUCUCCACCGCCUUACCCCGCCCCCUGUUCCCACUUGCUAAUGGAGAAACUAGCAGCAGCCUUAGGGUAACUGGGGGUGGCGGUGGCAGUGGUGAAUUAUUAUUGGUAUUUUUAUCUUAAAAAACUGAGAUAUCGGUGUUAAUGUUUGCACCUUAAAAUAUAUACGCAGUUCUAGAGUAGGAAGCCCUGAUGGUGUGAGGUGGGCUGGGGAUGGUUGCAGGUGUUUAUCUCCGUCAAGAAGACCCCAGGGGCCCUCGGCGUUUGCUCUGAAAACCACGCCCCAUCCGCUCCUUGUGAAAGUGUGUACAGGCGCCCACGGUCAGCCUGAGUCCUGGCCUUUUGUCUUUCUUCCUCCGUAAGUCGAGGGGGGCGGUCCGUGUACAGUUAGAGGAGGAAAUAAGUCAGUCAGGAAAUAACUCAUUUUACUAUUGGAAAGUCACCUAAAACCUUUUGUUUAUGAGCACAGGGGCCUGUGGGGAGCGGGGGAGAAAACAAGACCAUUCGUAAAGACUGACGCUGCGGUGCUGGAUUUAAACCCGAGACGGGACCACGGAACCCAAUGCACAGGUCCACACGGCCGGGGCCUGGAGGUGUGAGCGCACAUGCACCAUGCCGGUGGGCCCUGCACAGACCUGCGUGAUGACACACCCAGACACACGCGUGUACCGAACCUCCUCCAGAUACACCCCGUCCAGGGUAGAGACCCGGCGUUCUGGGUUGACUGUGUCCCCUGGGACUUGCAAAGGUGACUUUUUUUGCAGAGUCUUGCAGACAGGUUAAGAUGAGGUCGGACUGGAGCAGAGUGGGCCCUGACCCAGUGUGACUGGUGUCCUGAUAUGAAGAGGAAGAUUUAAACCCAGAGAGAAAGAGGGAGGAAGGCCGUGUCCUGAUGGGGGCAGGGUUUGGAAGGAGGUUGCCACAAGCCAGGGAGCACCGGGGCCCCCAGAUGCUGGAAGAAGGGAAAGAUCCUGUCUUGGAGACUCGGGAGCAUGGGUGGCCCCGCAGCACCUUGAUUUUGGACUUCUGGCCUCCAUACAGUGAGAUAAUAAAUUUCUGGGUGUUUUUGUUUGUCUUUUUGUU
RNAcentral lists this long non-coding RNA (3087 nucleotides) under Sus scrofa (pig). RNAcentral describes it as "lncRNA (ENSSSCG00060031885.1)". Lineage: Eukaryota; Metazoa; Chordata; Mammalia; Artiodactyla; Suidae. The record is from RNAcentral.